CCUACGGGUGGCAGCAGUGGGGAAUAUUGGACAAUGGGGGCAACCCUGAUCCAGCCAUGCCGCGUGUGUGAAGAAGGCCCUCGGGUUGUAAAGCACUUUCAGUGAGGAAGAACGCCUGGUGGUUAAUACCCAUCAGGAAAGACAUCACUCACAGAAGAAGCACCGGCUAACUCCGUGCCAGCAGCCGCGGUAAUACGGAGGGUGCGAGCGUUAAUCGGAAUUACUGGGCGUAAAGCGCGCGUAGGUGGCUUGAUAAGCCGGUUGUGAAAGCCCCGGGCUCAACCUGGGAACGGCAUCCGGAUCUGUCAAGCUAGAGUGCAGGAGAGGAAGGUAGAAUUCCCGGUGUAGCGGUGAAAUGCGUAGAGAUCGGGAGGAAUACCAGUGGCGAAGGCGGCCCUCUGGACUGACACUGACACUGAGGUGCGAAAGCGUGGGUAGCAAACAGGAUUAGAUACCCGUGUAGUC
This 465-nucleotide ribosomal RNA is filed under the name Vreelandella stevensii. RNAcentral describes it as "partial 16S ribosomal RNA". It matches the Rfam family "Bacterial small subunit ribosomal RNA", at positions 338 to 795 of the family's 1533-position model. Lineage: Bacteria; Pseudomonadati; Pseudomonadota; Gammaproteobacteria; Oceanospirillales; Halomonadaceae. The record is from RNAcentral.